GACGAACGCUGGCGGCGUGCUUAACACAUGCAAGUCGAGCGGUAAGGCCCUUUCGGGGGUACACGAGCGGCGAACGGGUGAGUAACACGUGGGUGACCUGCCUUUAGCUCUGGGAUAAGCCUGGGAAACUGGGUCUAAUACCGGAUAUGACUCCGCGGUGCAUGCUGUGGGGUGGAAAGCCUUGUGCGGCUGGAGAUGGGCCCGCGGCCUAUCAGCUUGUUGGUGGGGUGAUGGCCUACCAAGGCGACGACGGGUAGCCGGCCUGAGAGGGCGACCGGCCACACUGGGACUGAGACACGGCCCAGACUCCUACGGGAGGCAGCAGUGGGGAAUAUUGCGCAAUGGGCGGAAGCCUGACGCAGCGACGCCGCGUGGGGAUGACGGCCUC
RNAcentral lists this ribosomal RNA (388 nucleotides) under uncultured bacterium. RNAcentral describes it as "bacterial SSU rRNA". It matches the Rfam family "Bacterial small subunit ribosomal RNA", at positions 28 to 418 of the family's 1533-position model. The record is from RNAcentral.